RNAcentral lists this long non-coding RNA (836 nucleotides) under Olea europaea subsp. europaea. Lineage: Eukaryota; Viridiplantae; Streptophyta; Magnoliopsida; Lamiales; Oleaceae. The record is from RNAcentral.
CAAGCCCCAAUUUACGCCUGAAAACCCGAAACACCCGCUCCUCGUUCUAGAACAAACGCAAGAAAUCGUGGGAAAAAUCAAAACCAAGAAAUUCAUCCCCAAAUCAAAACCUGGAAAUCUUCAAAUCAUCUCAAGAAUAUUCGAGGGUUUGUAUAUAUAGGCAACAAUGUGCAAAGAAGUAGGGUAUCGGUGAUUAAUCUGUCAAAGUUCAUCUUACGGUUAUUUAGUGGAUUGAUUCUUCAAUUCAUCUUAUCUCUCAACUCUUCUCUAAUUUUCUGUCAUUUUUCCCACCUCAGUUCUGUUUUUUCUUCAUUCAUAUGGUUGACUUCAAUUGAGUUGAAUUUUCGAUUAGUUGCGGUUAAGGAGGAGCUAGAGUCCAAACCGUGACAAAUAGUAAUGGUGAUGUAAGGCGUGGCGUCAAGGAAGAAGAACGGAAGGAGGAAAGUGAAUCCGGAGACAAUGAACUCAACGAGGUAAGGUUAGUUCUGUAUUUUUGUCUUUGUAACCUUUUGUUGCAUUGUCAUAUCGAGUUUAUGGAAGUUAGCUUUUGUCUAUUGGAAUAUAGUGAGUCGGUGACCUCUGGAAUAAUGAAAUUUAUUUUAGUUGAUUUCUUGAGCUAUACCCGAAAAAUUGAAUAAUGAUAUAUGUCUGGUCAAAAAAAUUAGGAGUCUUGUAUAUUUUUGUGCAUUGAGAAAUGCAUAUUGCUUUCUAAUAUAUGUUUGUGUGUAUCUGAGAUUUGACACUGGGCAACUCACGUAGCUUUGCUUAUGCAUUAGGUGCAAAUUCUGGACACCAAAGAAGCCUUCUUAAUCUGUAUUUAUUCUACUUAAUUCUAG